Cinara cedri is the source of this 214-nucleotide non-coding RNA. The record is from the annotation of a GenBank genome assembly. Lineage: Eukaryota; Metazoa; Arthropoda; Insecta; Hemiptera; Aphididae.
AAAAAAUACGCAUAUUAUUAUAAUUGUUGAACAACAAUGGCGUGGCGUGAGCAUAUGUUGAAAUGGAAAUACGCUUCCAACAAAAUACUUUCCGACGAUUUAUUUUUCCGACAAAAUACGUUUCUAAAAAACCCAUUUUCGACAAAAUACAGUUCCGACAAAUUAUAGCCCUCCGCCCCUGCUGAGUGUAAGACAAUUAUUAUUCAGUCCCCGU